CCUACGGGUGGCAGCAGUGGGGAAUAUUGGACAAUGGGGGGAACCCUGAUCCAGCCAUGCCGCGUGUGUGAAGAAGGCCCUCGGGUUGUAAAGCACUUUCAGUGAGGAAGAACGCCUGGUGGUUAAUACCCAUCAGGAAAGACAUCACUCACAGAAGAAGCACCGGCUAACUCCGUGCCAGCAGCCGCGGUAAUACGGAGGGUGCGAGCGUUAAUCGGAAUUACUGGGCGUAAAGCGCGCGUAGGUGGCUUGAUAAGCCGGUUGUGAAAGCCCCGGGCUCAACCUGGGAACAGCAUCCGGAACUGUCAAGCUAGAGUGCAGGAGAGGAAGGUAGAAUUCCCGGUGUAGCGGUGAAAUGCGUAGAGAUCGGGAGGAAUACCAGUGGCGAAGGCGGCCUUCUGGACUGACACUGACACUGAGGUGCGAAAGCGUGGGUAGCAAACAGGAUUAGAUACCCCUGUAGUC
Molecule: ribosomal RNA, 465 nt
Filed under: Vreelandella stevensii
Lineage: Bacteria; Pseudomonadati; Pseudomonadota; Gammaproteobacteria; Oceanospirillales; Halomonadaceae
Description: partial 16S ribosomal RNA
Rfam family: Bacterial small subunit ribosomal RNA
Source: RNAcentral